UAGGGAGCAAGCGUUGUCCGGAAUUACUGGGUGUAAAGGGUGCGUAGGCGGCUUAACAAGUCAGACGUGAAAUGUGGAGGCUUAACCUCCAAGCUGCGUUUGAAACUGUAAAGCUUGAGUGGAGUAGAGGCAGAUGGAAUUUCCGGUGUAGCGGUGAAAUGCGUAGAUAUCGGAAGGAACACCAGUGGCGAAGGCGAUCUGCUGGGCUCUAACUGACGCUGAGGCACGAAAGCGUGGGUAGCAAA
This 245-nucleotide ribosomal RNA is filed under the name uncultured bacterium. Its description in RNAcentral is "partial 16S ribosomal RNA". It matches the Rfam family "Bacterial small subunit ribosomal RNA", at positions 528 to 772 of the family's 1533-position model. The record is from RNAcentral.